RNAcentral lists this ribosomal RNA (499 nucleotides) under uncultured bacterium. RNAcentral's name for it is "partial 16S ribosomal RNA". It matches the Rfam family "Bacterial small subunit ribosomal RNA", at positions 899 to 1397 of the family's 1533-position model. The record is from RNAcentral.
ACUCAAAGGAAUUGACGGGGGCCCGCACAAGCAGUGGAGCAUGUGGUUUAAUUCGACGCAACGCGAAGAACCUUACCUAGGCUUGAAACGCAAGUUAAUCCUGAUGAAAGUCAGGGUGCCGCAAGGCGAACUUGUACAGGUGCUGCAUGGCUGUCGUCAGCUCGUGCCGUGAGGUGUUGGGUUAAGUCCCGCAACGAGCGCAACCCUCGUUCUUAGUUGCCAUCAGGUAAUGCUGAGCACUCUAAGAAGACUGCCUACGCAAGUAGUGAGGAAGGUGGGGAUGACGUCAAGUCCGCAUGGCCCUUACGCCUAGGGCCACACACGUGCUACAAUGGCCAUUACAAAGGGCUGCAAGACCGCGAGGUGGAGCUAAUCCCUAAAAAAUGGUCUCAGUUCGGAUUGGAGUCUGCAACUCGACUCCAUGAAGCUGGAAUUGCUAGUAAUCGCGCAUCAGCACGGCGCGGUGAAUACGUUCCCGGGCCUUGUACACACCGCCCGU